RNAcentral lists this ribosomal RNA (279 nucleotides) under uncultured bacterium. Its description in RNAcentral is "partial 16S ribosomal RNA". It matches the Rfam family "Bacterial small subunit ribosomal RNA", at positions 506 to 784 of the family's 1533-position model. The record is from RNAcentral.
UGCCAGCAGCCGCGGUAAUACGGAGGGUGCAAGCGUUGUCCGGAAUUAUUGGGUUUAAAGGGUGCGUAGGCGGUCUUUUAAGUCAGAGGUGAAAUCCCACAGCUUAACUGUGGAACUGCCUUUGAUACUGGAAGACUUGAGUACACUAGAGGUAGGCGGAAUUUAUGAUGUAGCGGUGAAAUGCAUAGAUAUCAUAAGGAACACCAAUUGCGAAGGCAGCUUACUGGAGUGUAACUGACGCUGAGGCACGAAAGCGUGGGGAGCGAACAGGAUUAGAUA